UCUACUAAAAAUACAAAAUUAUCCAGGCAUGAUGGUGCAUGCCUGUAAUCUGAGCUACUCAGGAGGCUGAGACAGGAGAAUUGCUUGAACCCGGGAGGCAGAGGUUGCAAUGAGCCAAGAUCACUCCAUUGCACUUUAGCCUGGGCAACAAGAGCAAAACUCUGUCUCAAAAAGAAAAAAAAAGAAAAAAAAAAAUUAGCCGGGCAUGGUGGCACGUGUCUGUAGUCCCAGCUACUCGGGAGGCUGAGGCAGGAGAAUCAUUUGAACCCGGGAGGCGGAGGUUGCAUUGAGCCCAGAUCAUGCCACUGCACUGCAGCCUGGGUGACAGAGCGAGACUCCAUCUCAAAAAAAAAAAAAAAAGAAAGAAAAAAAAAGAAACAAACAAGGAAACAUCCUUCAUUAUCAGUAAUUAUAUUAAAUGCAAAUGAAUUAAAUUCUACAAUAAUUCUACAAUGAAAAGGCAGAGAUUUGCAGCAUGGAUUUAAAAAACUACUUGAUCCAAGUAUAUGCUCUUCACAAAAGACACUUUCUUUUUUUUUCUUUUAAGUUCUGGGGUACAUGUGCAGGAUGUGCAGGUUUGUUACGUAGGUAAAUGUGUGCCAUGGUGACUUGCUGCACCUAUCAAUCCAUCACCUAGGUAUUAAGCCCAGCAUGCAUUAGCUAUUUUUCCUGAUGCUCUCCCUCCUCCCCACAACUCCAGACAGGCCCUAGUGUGUGUUGUUCCCCGCCCUAUGUCUAUGUGUUCAUAUUGUUCAGCUCCUGCUUAUAAGUAAGAACAUGCGGUGUUUGGUUUUCUGUUCCUGCAUUAGUUUGCUGAGGAUAAUGCCUUCCAGCUCCAUCCAUGUCCCUGCAAAGGACAUUAUCUCAUUCCUUUUUACGGCUGCAUAGUAUUCCAUGGUGUAUAUGUACCAUGUUUUCUUUAUCCAGUCUAUCAUUAAUGGACAUUUGGAUUGAUUCCAUGUACAAAAGAUACUUUCAAUUCAAAGACAUAAGUAGGUUGAAAGUCAAAGAAUGGAAAAAAAUAUUCCUUGCAAACAGUAACCAAAAGAGACCUGGAGGGCUAUACUAACACUAGGAAAAAAAGACUUUAUGACAAGAAUUGUUAUAAGAGAUAAAAGGGUCACUCCAUUAAGAAGAUAUGACAAUUAGGAACAUAUAUGCACCUGUAAACAGAGCCUCCAAAAUACGUAAAGUUAUGAGAUAAUUGAAAAGAGAAAGAAUUCAACAAUAAUAUUUAUUUGAAGACUUCAAUAUACCCCUUUCAAUAAUGGAUAGAACAACUAAACAGAAGAUCAUCACGGAAACAGAAGACUUGAAAAAAUUAUAAACCUACUAGACCUAAUAGACAUUUAUAGGACACUCGACUCAACAACAGCAGAAUGCCCAUUCUUCUCAAUUAUACAUGGAGCAUUCUCCAGGAUAGACCAUAUGUUAUGACAUAAGUCUUUAUAAAUUCACGUCAUACAAAGUAUCUUCUCCAACCCAAUGGAAUAAAACUAGAAAUUAAUAAUAGAAGAAAAACAGGAAAAUUCACAAUAUGUGGAAAUUAAACAACACACCUAAACAAUCAAUGGAUCAAAGAAGAAAUCACAAAGGAAAUUAGAGAAUAUUUGGAGAUGUAUGAAAGCAAAAACACACAAUACCAAAACCAUGGGAAGCAGUAUUUAGAGAAACAUUUAUAGUUGUAAAAUUCUGCAUUUGAAAAGAAUAAAUAUCUCAAAUCAAUAACCUAGCUUUAUACGUUAAGGAACUAGAAAAAGAAGAGCAGGCAGGGCAUGGUGGCUCACACCUGUAAUCCUAGCACUUUAGGAGGCUGAGGCAGGCGGAUCACAAGGAGGCAGAGGUUGCAGUGAGCCGAGAUGGCGCCACUGCACUCCAGCCUAGGCGACAGAGCGAGACUCUGUCUCAAAUAAAUAAAUAAAUAAAUAAAUAAAUAAAUAAAGGAAAAGAAGAGCAAACUGAAACCCAAAACAAGCAAAAGAAGUAAAUAAUAAAGAUUAGACUAGUGAUAACAAAGUAGACAAUAGAAAAACGAGAAAAGAAGUGAAACCAAAAAUUGGCUCUUUGAAAAAAAAAAAUCAACAAAAUUGACAAACCUUUAGCUAGUCUGACCAAGAAAACGGUGAGAAGAUUCAAAUAACUAAAAUUAGGAAUGGAAGCAGGGACAUUGCUACCAACCUCACAGGAAAAAAAUGUAUAAGACUAUAAUAAUUGUAUGCUACUAGGAUUUGGAUGUGGUUUGUUCUUACCAAAACUUGUGUUGAAAUUUCCUUCCCAAUAUGGCAGUGUUGAGGGGUGAAGUCUAGUGAAAAUGUUUGAGUCUGGGGGUGGGUCCCUCAUUGACAGAUUAGUGCCAUCUUGUGGCAGUAAGUUCUCACUCUCAUGGGACAUUGUGAGUCCUGAUUUCAGCAGCAGCUGUUCCAGAUGUACUGUCCUUAUUAACAUGCAGCCAUUAUUCUGCAUGUUUCUGUGUGGAUAUUUUUAGAUAAGAUUAGCAUUUAAAUUGGUGGACUUUCAGUAAAGCAAAUUGCCUUCUGUAAUGUGGGUGGGCCUCAUCUAAUCAGUCGAAGGACUGAAUAAAUCAGCCUAACCUCUCCAGAGCAAAAAGGAAUUCUGUGGCAGACAGUCUUCAGACUUGAACUGCAAUCUUGGCUCUUCCUUAGAUCUCCAGCCUGCCAGUCAACCCUGCAGAUUUUGGAGUAGCCAACUUCCACAACUGCAUGAGCCAGUUCCUUAAAAUAAGUCUCUUUAUGUGUGCACUACAUAUACACAUCCUGUUGUUCCUCUUUCUCUGGAGAACUCUGACUAACACCAUCUUCUACAGACAGGACCGACAAGCUGUCAGGUUUAUGAAGAAUUAAUAUUUGGGAAGCCCUCGUGUAUAAAGACUUCAGACCAUUUGAGGUGUUGGCUGAAAGCAAAAUAAACGUGAUAAUAAAAAGAAGUCUUAAAUAUCAGCUUUGGCCUCAUGAACAGCUGCAGAAAUCCAGACUGUAUCCUCUCCUUCCUGCUGUGUCAUGUAUAUAUUUAUGAGUUAAUUAAUUUUUGUUUGAUUCCUCUCUCUUCUCUCUCACUAUUAUAUAUACGGUUUGUUUACAGUUAACUGUAGUUUAGUUCAUAGGUUUCAGAAUAACGCAACUACAGUGCAGGUGGAACUUGAGAAUGAAUGAACAUCCAGGAUUGAGGAUGGAUGCGGUCAGUAACUAUUGUCACCCAUUGGUGAGGGAGUGAGCAUAUUUUUUGUUUGAAAUAAGGAGAAUGGCAUUGUCUCAAACAGAACAAGUUUGUUACUGUUGUUAUGGGUGGAAAUGAAUGUCAGGAAAGAAUAUUAUGUGUGUAAAUCUAGAGAGUCAGACAAAUAGAUUUCAAAGGGUGUUUGUCAUUCCUUUGUAUUCUGGCAGACUCCCCAAGGUGUGUAUCAGUGGAUGCAGUGCUGGGUCUUCCCCUAACAAAGCUGAAAUGCAAGUAAAUCCUCCCUCUCCCUGCUCCUUGGUGGUCUGAACUCAGGAUCUGGACCUGUCCUUACCCUACGGGAUGCUCGCACGUGGAUCUUUGACUCAUCCACAGCAAAGGCCUGUGUGCUUUCUGUGGCUAAUCCAGUGUUCUACCUCCUAAGACACAACAAAAAGAAGUUUGGUGUUGGCCCAUUGUACCGGGAGCAAAGAAGGAGGUGAAAAUGUUUUUCUAGGAUGUUCUCUAUAAAAACCUUCCUGAUGCAAAGCACCUCUUUUUAGAGAUUUGGGAUAGGCUAUUUAACCCCUAGCAUCCUGGAUUCUUCCAUGGACAAAGACUGUGUCCUGUGGUUCUGUUGCUGUGGGUACCUACUCCAGGCCUUACCCCCUGGAUGGUAAAAAGCUGUCAGGUGUUAAUAGAAGGAUUAGCACAUAAUAAAGUGCCCCCCACCCAAGUAAUAUUGGAAGAAUUUAAAGAGGAUGGUAAUAAUAAGAGCACCUUGGAAGAAAAAAUCAAACAAGCAUCUGCCAUUGCAUUCUAUGCUGAAAUUAGGUCAAAUUUUGUUUUUAACACAAACCUUUAUGCUUGUUUAGGAAUAAAAGACACAGUGCCAAUAGGCACUAACCUACUUUAGGAAUUUUACCUGCUCACCAGAAUGUCUAAAACAUAUUGUCCCACAAGUAAAGAUUUUGCCCUAUUGUUUCAAACACCAUUCAUUCCCAUGGUACAAAACAGUGCAAAGUAUAGGACGUGUUUGGUGGAGAUACAGAAUCCUUGAAUGAGUUUAGAUGGUGGUGGUGAUGAUGAUAAUGAUGAUGGAUGUAUUAAAAAGUCUAGCCGGGUGCGGUGGCUCACACCUGUAAUCCCAGCACUUUGGGAGGCCAAAGCGGGCAGAUCACCUGAGGUCAUCAGUUCCAGACCAGCCUGGCCAACAUGGCAAAACCCCCUCUCUACUAAAAAUACAAAAAUUAGCCGGGUGUGGUGGCACGUGCCUGUAAUCCCAGCUACUUGGGAGGCUGAGGCAGGAUAAUUGCUUUUUUUUCUUUGAAACAGGGUCUUGCUCUGUUGCCCAGGCUGGAGUGCAGUGGUGCAAACACAGCUCACUGCAGUCUUCACCUCCUGGGCUCCAGCAAUCCUCCCACCUCAGCCUCCCAAGUAGCUGGAAUUAUAGGUGCACACCACCACACCUGGCAAUUUUUUUUUUUCAUUUUUUGUAUAAAUGAGGUCUUGCCAUGUUACCCUGGCUAAGGUUCUUAUAUAGUAAGUGGCUUAGAUUGUAGAUAAUAGAUUUAGAACCAAAACAUCGAUCUCUUGUCCCUCCAGUCAGUGCUUCUUGUACUGGAAUGGAUCUCUAGACUUGGUGUAUGCACUCUCAAUAGUGUGUAUCGAAGGAGAGGAGAGGGCAGAGCAGGGGUAGUAGGGUGGGCUGGCCAUUUUCUUGUGAGUUGAGAGGCUUAGACUCUGUUGGCACUAAGUGUCUUCUGAUUUUAAAGAAGUCUCCUUACCUCCCGCUGCCUCAGUUCCUUUCUGUAAACCAGAGGAGAAGGGAAAUUGUAGGAUUCUCUCCUAAUAUGAUCUCGUGUUCUAGGAAAGUCGUAUGAAGGCGGAAGUGAAAGUAGAUAAUCUAUUUUAUUUCGUAUGAUUUUACCAACACAUCUGUUGAAUUUUUUUUUAAAACGUCAUCAUUCUGGUUCACAUUUGCUUUUUUAAGACACAUAUUUGAGAAUUCAGCCACUGGGCUUAUUUAUACUCAUUAUUAUUCUAGGAUAAUCUUUGGGGUUUGAAAUCACUUAUAAUCCCAUAACACAAAACUGUGGCGAACAUGUCCUCUGACCUACAUGAAUUAUUUUCUGUGAAAAUGAAAGUCGUGGACAGCCCUAAUUAAAUCCCUGCUGAGCAGAUGCCAGUGCUUAGGACAGCUCUCCACGUGAUCCAUAGAAACAAAUCAAGGUUUGCAGUUGGAGAACCACUAAAAGCAAGCCAGUGACUGUUCCUAUGGCUUGUAAACACAAAAGAAAAUAUUAAAAAGUACACAUGAGAUACAAAGAAUACUAUUACAAGCAGGCCCAAGUCAGCCACUCAGCUUAGGCCUUAGAGCUGUGUCAGUAUCGCUGAAGACUCUAAGGACUGGGCCUUCCCGACGCCAUUCCUUCUCCUUCCUCCCAGAGCCACCAUCGUCUAAUGUUGUGUUCAUAAUUGACUUAAUUUCCUUCCUCAUUUUCCUAUAUAACCAUGUAUCCUUAAAGUAUAUGUUGCUAAAUCUUGCAUAUAUUUGAAGUUUCUAUUUAAGAUAAGUGGCAUUAUAUUGUAGAUAACCCAGUCUUUGGUUCAAGUUUAUGUUUGGGAAGUCAUCCACGGGUGUUGACAUUUUCAGCUGAAUGUCAUUCAUUUUCACUAUCCUAUAGAAUUCCAUUGCAUGAAUAUCCCAUGAUGUAUUUACUCAUAGGGUUUUUUUUUCUUUUAAUUACACAAUUAUAUUAUCUUAAUAUUAUACAUACAUAACAAUUAUCAUACCCUAUUACCCAAAAGUUGUAAACAUUCUGUGAAUAUAGGCUCCAAUACGUAGAAGAUUGAGCUGUGAACUCAUUAAUUUUCUACAUAGUUUCUUUGGAAACCAAAGAUUUGAAAGCCAGAGUUAUUGCUGAUCUCCUCUUUCUGCUUCAUUAGGCCUGCCUUUCCCGGUAACCUGUUCCUCAAAUAAUAUUUCUCCCAAUUGUGACACCAACUAGAUGUCAAAGCCUCAGUGAUAUCCGUUGAUGUCAAAACAUCAAUUUAUGUCAAAUAUAAUUUAACCUAAAGCUAAGUUUCCUUUAUUAGAAUGAUAAUGUCAUUUAUCAUAUGUCUUUUCUUUCACUUUCCCUGAUUUUAGUUAUUAAAACAACACCCCACUUCAAUGUGCUCAUUUGUAAAAUAGCAAUGCCGUUACUAACUUGUGUCUGUUACAGAGAGUAUCCUACGAAGAUGGUCUCAAAGUACUUUGAGAUGAACAGAAUGUUCUAUAAAUGGGUAUUGAAAAUAAUCAAGACAUUCAUGGAUCCAAACAGGCCACAGAAAUACCAUAGCAACAAAUGAACAAUAAUUGCUGCAUUAUGGGCUCUUUCCCCAGCUGCACUCAUGCAAUCAAAGCUCUGCUGCGUCUUCAGAGGAGCCCAGGUCAGGUCUGGCUGCCAUCACCCAUGAGGAAGACGUGCGGAGCCAGACAGGUGCCUGGAGGAAAGGUGGGUGUGUGCUGUCCUGCCCCAUCCUCUCUGUUUCCCUCCCACGUGUUUGCAGAGACGUCCUCAGCAUGGAACCAGGGCCCUUGACAGAGACAUUGUCAUUCUGGACACCCCACACCCAAGCCAGUUCAUCCAAGUCACCCGAUAAAAUUGUGCUCUGAAGAAACUGCCUGUUGCAGCAAACUCCUUACCUUACUGGAUGCAUAGCGAUGGCCAGCACAGGACGAGGCCAUGGGAGGAUCUUAAUGACACAGUCCACUCUGCAAACCAAGGUCAACAAGGCAGCAGGCUGGAGUGCAAUGGCAUGAUCAUGGCUCACUGCAGCCACAACCUCCUGGGCUCAAGCAAUCCUGCCUCAGCCUCUCAGGUAGCUAGGACUACAGGGACACGGAUGAAGCUGGAAACCAUCAUUCUCAGCAAACUAUCGAAAGGACAAAAAACCAAACACUGCAUGUUCUCACUCAUAGGUGGGAAUUGAACAAUGAGAACACUUGGACACAGGAAGCGGAACAUCACACACCGGGGCCU
Molecule: long non-coding RNA, 7199 nt
Organism: Pan troglodytes (chimpanzee)
Lineage: Eukaryota; Metazoa; Chordata; Mammalia; Primates; Hominidae
Exons: 3
Source: RefSeq, a predicted model, not a curated record